GCCGGGCGCGGUGGCUCAAGCCUGUAAUCCCAGCACUUUGGGAGGCCGAGACGGGCGGAUCACGAGGUCAGGAGAUCGAGACCAUCCUGGCUAACACGGUGAAACCCCGUCUCUAGUAAAAAAUACAAAAANNNNNNNNNNUUUUUGUAUUUUUUACUAGAGACGGGGUUUCACCGGGUUAGCCAGGAUGGUCUUGAUCUCCUGACCUCGUGAUCCGCCCGUCUCGG
Chlorocebus sabaeus (green monkey) is the source of this 227-nucleotide non-coding RNA. It matches the Rfam family "Metazoan signal recognition particle RNA". Rfam says of the family: The signal recognition particle (SRP) is a universally conserved ribonucleoprotein. It is involved in the co-translational targeting of proteins to membranes. The eukaryotic SRP consists of a 300-nucleotide 7S RNA and six proteins: SRPs 72, 68, 54, 19, 14, and 9. Lineage: Eukaryota; Metazoa; Chordata; Mammalia; Primates; Cercopithecidae. The record is from Rfam.